Long non-coding RNA from Equus caballus (horse), 2186 nucleotides. The record is from Ensembl. NCBI's taxonomy places the organism in Eukaryota, Metazoa, Chordata, Mammalia, Perissodactyla, Equidae.
UUUUGAGUUAAAACAUCCCCUUAUCCCUGGGUGCAUCAUUCCUGACAUGUAGCAUUGUUAAUGAGAGUGUGAAUACCUUCAGACUUGUCACGCGACCUCUGAAAGUUGAUGGAGGUCAUUAGAGCACUGGUGAGCCAUCUUUAUUUCUGUGAAGACAUGGAAUUCCACGAAGACAGAACCCAGACAUUAAAUGCUAUGUUCCUCCUUUUCUACUCUUUUGCAGGCUUUGGAGCCAGAAGCAGAGGACUGGGUUGCCUGCUCACCUGCGCUGAGCUAUCUUCUCCACGUGAACUCUCACCGUGUGCUCACACUCGACAUGGGUCGGGAAAAAUUCCAAGAAGUCAGGGGAGCCGAGGGCAUACGAAAUGGAGAGAAUCCUGAAGGAAACCUCUUCUAACAUCAUCAGAUUAGAAAAAACUGGGGCCAGUGGGGAGAUGAGCUACCAGAGGCCACAUAACAAGUGAAGGGUCAAAGUGAGAGCAGAAAUCCUCUUCUUCUAACUCGGGAUUCAAGGAAUUUCCAGCCACUUUGCAAAAGCAGAGCGAAGCAGGUCUCAGAGCUUAGUGACCGUUCCAAAGUGGCAGCCCUGUCCUCCUGGUCUCCCACUCCUUGCCAGGCCAGCGGGGGCUUCAAGUAGAUUUGCUUCCAGGAGAAAAGCCCCACGCCCGAGUCCAGGAGAAGUCACGAGGGAAGCAAUUAAAAUCACCUGGGUUCUGCCUGGGCCUUCCACGCCCAGGCAGAGGUGCCUGAUUUCACAGGAGGCCCAGCUCACCUGCAACUGCGCCUUCUCGCUGCCUCCUAGUAAUUAGCUCCUGGGAGACCCGCAUCCUAUUAGGCAAACCCUAGCCUUAAACAACCCCUGUAAAGACUCUCCCAGGCUUCCAGUGCAGUUUUGUCAACUUUUAUUAAGAACUGUCUCCCUCAGGCAGCUCAUUUUUCCCUGGUCCCCUGAGUGGCCCCAUGCAGGCAAGCUUCAUCAUCAAUGAAUUCUGCACCCAUCAACAAUUUUGUGCCAAUGACAAAAACCUAAAUGCAUCUGAUGUGCUGAGGACAUGGAAGCGGCAGAGCAGCUUGAGAAAGGGCAGCAUCUCCAGCAGCUGUUACAGAAAUAGCACAGCCAAUUAAGAUUCCAGCUGCAAAGAGACGGAGAUGCAAUCUGGAGCAAUAAUACCUCUGUGCUGUGCAUUUGAAGGAAAACAGAUUUGCCUUUUACUCCCAGAGUUGGUGACAAGGAUUCAGAGCAUGGCUGACCAGAUGGCAACCCCAUAAGUCUCUCUCCUCUCUGGUACGUUCUAGUUGAAUCCUCCCGCACUCUACAUCAUGGCUCAGACUUCCCAAGUGGCUUUUGGUUCCUCUGCUUUUUAGGCUGGUCUUCUCCAGUUGAGGUCAAAGGUCAUUCCAGAAAUAGUUCUCAGAAGAAGAAUUAGAUUUCAUAAAGAGAAAAAACUAUAGGAGAAGUUGCAUGCAUGGAUAUAUCUAGUGCGUGAAUAUGGGAAAUAAUUCAGUGAAUAGGAACAAAUCGCCAGCGAGGAAGCCAGCACCAAUAUUUCCCUUUUUCCUUUGUUGUGGAUGGAAAGCAAGGCUGCACACAUUCCCAGGAGUCUGGCAAACUUUGGAAAGGGAACACGUCAUCCUUGUGUUGAGGACUGAGUGUGGGCCAACCCCCAGUGCAUAAAGCCCUAUUUCAUAUUAGAUCCAGAAGCAGUUUACAAUUCAGUUCAAGACCUCAUUUGUGGGACAGUAAACAAAAUUUUGAUUGUCCUCACAAAAUGCUGCUAUCAGGUUUUGCCCGUCUCUGUAAAUGGCAGCAUAUUCCACCAAGCUGCUUAAAAUACAAACCUAAAUUUUGAUUCUUCCUUUUUUGAAUUCCUCAGUAAGUCCUGGUCAUUUUAUUCCCAAAACAUAUUUUCAGUUGUCUCGUUCCCUUUAUUUCCAUUGGCUCCACCUCAGCUCAGGCUGACAUCAUUUCUGCCCUGGACAGUCACAAAGCUCCUGACACUUCUUAGCCUCUUGGUUACCACAGCUGAUACUAUCACUCUUGUCCCACACUGUCUCCUCACCAUCCAUCCCAAAUACAUACCUCGCACAUAAGUCAAAUCAAGCCCUUCCCUGUCUGAAAACAUUUUAGCAGCUUCCCAUUAUCUUUAGAAUAAAAUCCAAACACCCAAUCAUGAACCUCAAAGCCC